UACGAAGGGGGCUAGCGUUGUUCGGAAUUACUGGGCGUAAAGCGCACGUAGGCGGACAUUUAAGUCAGGGGUGAAAUCCCGCGGCCCAACCGUGGAACUGCCUUUGAUACUGGCGAACUUGAGUGCGUGAGGGGUAGGGGGAACGAGCAGUGUAGCGGUGAAAUGCGUAGAUAUUGCUCGGAAGGCCAGAGCCGAAGGGGCCCUACUGGUGCGUAACUGACACUGAGGCACGAAAGCGUGGGGAGCAAACAGG
Molecule: ribosomal RNA, 253 nt
Filed under: uncultured bacterium
Lineage: Bacteria
Description: partial 16S ribosomal RNA
Rfam family: Bacterial small subunit ribosomal RNA
Source: RNAcentral